This 197-nucleotide ribosomal RNA is filed under the name uncultured bacterium. RNAcentral describes it as "partial 16S ribosomal RNA". It matches the Rfam family "Bacterial small subunit ribosomal RNA", at positions 328 to 539 of the family's 1533-position model. The record is from RNAcentral.
ACGCUCGACACCUAUGGGAGGCAGCAGUGGGGAAUAUUGCACAAUGGGGGAAACCCUGAUGCAGCGACGCCGCGUGAGCGAAGAAGUAUUUCGGUAUGUAAAGCUCUAUCAGCAGGGAAGAAACUGACGGUACCUGACUAAGAAGCACCGGCUAAAUACGUGCCAGCAGCCACGGUAAUCUGAGCGGCUGGCAAGGC